RNAcentral lists this ribosomal RNA (301 nucleotides) under uncultured bacterium. RNAcentral's name for it is "partial 16S ribosomal RNA". It matches the Rfam family "Bacterial small subunit ribosomal RNA", at positions 509 to 807 of the family's 1533-position model. The record is from RNAcentral.
CAGUCGCCACGGUAAGACAGAGGAUGCAAGCGUUAAUCGGAUUUACUGGGCGUAAAGGGCAUGCAGGCGGUCGUGCAAGCCCGGCGUGAAAGGUGGGGGCUCAACUCCCAAACUGCGCUGGGAACUGCAAGGCUUGAGUUUCUGAAGGGCAGCCGGAAUUCCACGUGUAGGGGUGAAAUCUGUAGAUAUGUGGAAGAACACCAAUGGCGAAGGCAGGCUACCGGCAGAAGACUGACGCUGAGGUGCGAAGGUGCGGGGAGCAAACAGGAUUAGAUACCCCAGUAGUCCCUGUCUCUUAUAC